AGCCCCGGUUCCCGCCCGCGCCUCUCCCUCCACACUUCGCCGCAAGCAGAGGGAGCCGGCUCCGGCCUCAGCUGGCCCAGAGAGGGGCUCCCUCAGUGCAGUGGCGAGCUGAAGGGCUCCUCAAGGGCGGCUGGAGUGGACGCUGAGGCCGAGGAGACGCCAAGAGCAAACGAGGGCUGCUAGUACAUUGUCACCUCUCACUGGUAACUACAGUUGCUGUCAGUUUAACUGUUGAUAUUCUGGAAGCAAGAUCUUGGAAGGCCAAGGACAGGUCAUUUCUUAGGACUGUGCAAAAGAGAAUCAGUCUUUACAGUAAGCUAUUUGAUUCUAGUAGUUCUUUCAUCUCAGUCUUUUGAAAGCAACUUCCCCUCUUUAACCAACACCUGCCAUGGCCUCUUCAUGAGCCGAAGAAGGAAAGACAGGACAGAUUCUUAUGACCUGAAACAGCACCUCAACUCUUACCUUGGAUAUUUCUACAUGAAGAAUCUGCUCUGAAACUAUAGCAAACAAUCACAGAGUGUUUGAGUGUGAGUCCAGACUGGUUCGGGAAGACCAAGAAGCAAUGAUGAUGUCUGUUUUUGUCAAAUGUCUGAAAACUAUUUUUAUUUUUCUAAAACUUUGUUCAGAAGUCUCAAUAUUGUAGUGUAUAGAGAUGUACACUAAUUUAGUGAUAUGAAGAUGAAGGGCUUUAAGCCUGUG
RNAcentral lists this long non-coding RNA (699 nucleotides) under Homo sapiens (human). RNAcentral's name for it is "non-protein coding lnc-TMEM170B-2:1". The record is from RNAcentral. Lineage: Eukaryota; Metazoa; Chordata; Mammalia; Primates; Hominidae.